GACGAACGCUGGCGGCGUGCUUAACACAUGCAAGUCGAACGGAAAGGCCCUGCUUUUGUGGGGUGCUCGAGUGGCGAACGGGGGAGUAACACGUGAGUAACCUGCCCUUGACUUUGGGAUAACUUCAGGAAACUGGGGCUAAUACCGGAUAGGAGCUCCUGCUGCAUGGUGGGGGUUGGAAAGUUUCGGCGGUUGGGGAUGGACUCGCGGCUUAUCAGCUUGUUGGUGGGGUAGUGGCUUACCAAGGCUUUGACGGGUAGCCGGCCUGAGAGGGUGACCGGCCACAUUGGGACUGAGAUACGGCCCAGACUCCUACGGGAGGCAGCAGUGGGGAAUAUUGCACAAUGGGCGGAAGCCUGAUGCAGCAACGCCGCGUGCGGGAUGACGGCCAUCGGGUUGUAAACCGCUUUCGCCUGUGACGAAGCGUGAGUGACGGUAAUGGGUAAAGAAGCACCGGCUAACUACGUG
This 468-nucleotide ribosomal RNA is filed under the name uncultured bacterium. RNAcentral describes it as "partial 16S ribosomal RNA". It matches the Rfam family "Bacterial small subunit ribosomal RNA", at positions 28 to 507 of the family's 1533-position model. The record is from RNAcentral.